GUAGGUGAACCUGCGGAAGGAUCAUUAUCACGUAUCCACGUAUAAACCAAUUCGUGAACUGUUUACAACACCUUUGGGCUAUGGCCGCUGUCAUUGACACAUAGAGCUUAUUGUAUGGUUAUGGGCUCGUCUUUGGCAAUUAAGGCUGUCUCUCCGAAGCGUAUUAAUCAUACUUUAACAUUAACCACUUGAACACUAUAUCAUUUUCUUUGUUUGAACUGAUUUGUUUCUUACUCAGCGCUCCUUACAG
RNAcentral lists this unclassified non-coding RNA (250 nucleotides) under plant metagenome. RNAcentral's name for it is "partial contains small subunit ribosomal RNA, internal transcribed spacer 1, and 5.8S ribosomal RNA". The record is from RNAcentral.